This 515-nucleotide ribosomal RNA is filed under the name uncultured bacterium. RNAcentral's name for it is "partial 16S ribosomal RNA". It matches the Rfam family "Bacterial small subunit ribosomal RNA", at positions 28 to 523 of the family's 1533-position model. The record is from RNAcentral.
GAUGAACGCUGGUGGCGUGCCUAAUACAUGCAAGUCGAGCGAAUGGAUUAAGAGCUUGCUCUUAUGAAGUUAGCGGCGGACGGGUGAGUAACACGUGGGUAACCUGCCCAUAAGACUGGGAUAACUCCGGGAAACCGGGGCUAAUACCGGAUAACAUUUUGAACCGCAUGGUUCGAAAUUGAAAGGCGGCUUCGGCUGUCACUUAUGGAUGGACCCGCGUCGCAUUAGCUAGUUGGUGAGGUAACGGCUCACCAAGGCAACGAUGCGUAGCCGACCUGUGAGGGUAAUCGGCCACACUGGGACUGAGACACGGCCCAGACUCCUACGGGAGGCAGCAGUAGGGAAUCUUCCGCAAUGGACGAAAGUCUGACGGAGCAACGCCGCGUGAGUGAUGAAGGCUUUCGGGUCGUAAAACUCUGUUGUUAGGGAAGAACAAGUGCUAGUUGAAUAAGCUGACACCUUGACGGUACCUAACCAGAAAGCCACGGCUAACUACGUGCCAGCAGCCGCGGUAA